CACACAAUGUCUGCAGACCGAUCACUCUUUUCACAGUCAGUAUAUAAUUUUCAAUUCUUUAAAUCUGAAUGUGCUUAAGUAUCUAGAAGAAUAGGAUCUCCAUUCCCCAGUUCUCAAAAAAAACAAAAAAACAAACAAACUGUAAUUAAGUUGCUUUCUAAACCAAGUUUAUUGGGUACAAACACUGCCAGUCUGUUUGACUAAAUUAAUUAACUUUUUAAAAAGCAAAUACAUUUCCAGUACAAACAGCUCUCUCAUAACCUGCUCAUCAAGAAGACUGUAAAAGACAACGGAUCACCCAUUCACACUUGAAAAAGAUUCCACCUGUGACAUAGGAAAGGGCUUUAUAAUGCAAUACAGAUAUGAUACAAUAGAGAUGUUGCAUUAUCUUCCUAAAGAGAUCGCUUUAUUGAACUUGGCACAAUAUUUUAAGCAAUUGGAUUUAAAAAAAAAUAUUUUUUAGGAAAAAACUGAAUUGCAAAAGAUAUAACCGUGUAUAUUGAGUAAAAAAAACAACCAACUUGUUGAUCCACACUCCCCUCCCCCCCUUGCAGCAAAAUUGAUAGUUGAUCGUAUUGAAGGUGAAAACUUAAAUAGAAGGAAAGCAGAAAUAGAUGUGUGAAAGGCUAUACCUGAUGAUCUAGAACAGGCAUAGGCAACCAAGAUGUUUUGGACUACACCUCCCAUGAUGCUUUGCCAGCAUUAUGGGUGUAAGAGCAUUAUAGGGGAUGUAGUCCACAUCUGGAGUGCCAAAAGUUGCCUUGUUUUUGGAUACUUCAGUCCUAGUAAUUCAUGGCAUCUUCAAAAGUCACAGAAAGGUCUGGUGUGGAGUAUAAUGCCACAGAAGGCAAAGGAACCGCAAUAACAGUUUGACAAGUAUAAACAGCUACCAGCAUUAACAUACAGAGGGCAUCUCUAAUACAGAUUGUGUUUAUUAACACAUUUAGGACGUUCUUAGAUUAAUAUGCAGAUGGUCUUCAGUUACACCUGCGGUGUGACCGGAGCCUUUAAUGAAAGCAGGCACAUGUGUAUUAAAGGACCACUCUAGGCACCCAGACCACUUCAGCUUAAUGAAGUGGUCUGGGUGCCUGGUCCAGCUAGGGUUAACCCAUUUUU
Non-coding RNA from Pelobates cultripes (western spadefoot toad), 1116 nucleotides. The record is from the annotation of a GenBank genome assembly. NCBI's taxonomy places the organism in Eukaryota, Metazoa, Chordata, Amphibia, Anura, Pelobatidae.